AAUUAUAAUUAUGAGCACAAUCGUCAAUAGGCUAACGAUUGGCUUUGGGACAUAUUUCCCAACAAAAAUAGCUGAAAGCCAUAUUAAGAAGAAAAAGACUCUACUUCUUCUUGUGGGUAAAAUCUCUAAAAAGAAAUUAGGCUCUAAGGGUUUAAAGAAAGCAUUGAACCCUAAGGGUGGCAAGAUGAAGAAGAAGGAGAAGACAGUCUCCAGAUAAGGUACAUACUUUCACU
This 233-nucleotide long non-coding RNA is filed under the name Elaeis guineensis (African oil palm). RNAcentral's name for it is "long non-coding RNA (EGUI_LNC066095)". The record is from RNAcentral. Lineage: Eukaryota; Viridiplantae; Streptophyta; Magnoliopsida; Arecales; Arecaceae.